This 74-nucleotide transfer RNA is filed under the name Podarcis lilfordi (Lilford's wall lizard). It matches the Rfam family "tRNA". Rfam says of the family: Transfer RNA (tRNA) molecules are approximately 80 nucleotides in length. Their secondary structure includes four short double-helical elements and three loops (D, anti-codon, and T loops). Further hydrogen bonds mediate the characteristic L-shaped molecular structure. tRNAs have two regions of fundamental functional importance: the anti-codon, which is responsible for specific mRNA codon recognition, and the 3' end, to which the tRNAs corresponding amino acid is attached (by aminoacyl-tRNA synthetases). tRNAs cope with the degeneracy of the genetic code in two manners: having more than one tRNA (with a specific anti-codon) for a particular amino acid; and 'wobble' base-pairing, i.e. permitting non-standard base-pairing at the 3rd anti-codon position. The record is from Rfam by way of RNAcentral. Lineage: Eukaryota; Metazoa; Chordata; Lepidosauria; Squamata; Lacertidae.
GUCACUAUAGCUCAGUUGGUUAGAGCGCGGUGCUGGUAACAGCAAGGUUGCAGGUUCGAUCCCCGUAUGGGACA